UUUGCUUAAAAUCUUGCAGGAGGGAGCUUGUUUUCCAGUGUAGAUGCAGCUGUUACAGAGAUUUCUGCCAUUGGUUUAGGGGAAGCAGCUGAAGCGGAUGUAUAGUCCUGUACAGGGUAGGUUCACUGACUCCCGAGGCAGAAAUGAGGAUGUGGACGGCUCUGUGUGUGACAAUAUACUUCUUCAGAGCAAGAGCUGAAAUCACCCAAACCCCAAGUCUUGUGGUGAGAGAAGAUGAGAAAGCUACUCUGAAAUGCAGUCAAAAUGAUAAACACAAUUCUAUGUACUGGUUUCUGCAGCAGCCAGGGAAGGCAAUGCAAUUGAUUUAUUAUUCCUAUGGUGUAAAUCAAAAGCAAGUGGGUGACAUUCCAGCUGGAUUCCAAGCUAACCGGCCAGACCUUGCAGAAUUCUAUUUGGAUAUUUUGUCUGUGAACCUGAACCACUCAGCCAUCUACUUCUGUGCCAGUAGUUUGGACACAACACUUCAAAGUCACUUGCUUUCUUUACAUAAACCUCUCCCCUUUCAUCACCUUCUCUCUGAAGCUGCUCUCAGCACAGGAAGAGGGUGUGUAGGGCAGUCACCUACUCACAAAACAGAUGUUACUGAGGUGGAACAAGAAUAGGAAGAAAUAAGACCAAGGCAAAAUAGGUAUUUGAAGUGUGGUCUAAUUGCUGAGCUCCUCUUUCCUGAUCAACAAAUUAUACUCCAUCUCAUCAGAACAAUCAAUAAAGAUAGUUAACCAAAUGCAGAUAUAAAAUAAA
Molecule: non-coding RNA, 762 nt
Organism: Parus major (Great Tit)
Lineage: Eukaryota; Metazoa; Chordata; Aves; Passeriformes; Paridae
Source: the annotation of a RefSeq genome assembly